GACGAACGCUGGCGGCGUGCUUAACACAUGCAAGUCGAACGGUAAGGCUCCAGCUUGCUGGGGUACACGAGUGGCGAACGGGUGAGUACCACGUGGGUGACCUGCCCUGCACUUCGGGAUAAGCCUGGGAAACUGGGUCUAAUACCGGAUAGGACCGCACCGUGAGGGUGUGGUGGAAAGUUUUUUCGGUGUGGGAUGGGCCCGCGGCCUAUCAGCUUGUUGGUGGGGUAAUGGCCUACCAAGGCGGCGACGGGUAGCCGGCCUGAGAGGGUGGACGGCCACAUUGGGACUGAGACACGGCCCAGACUCCUACGGGAGGCAGCAGUGGGGAAUAUUGCACAAUGGGCGGAAGCCUGAUGCAGCGACGCCGCGUGGGGGAUGACGGCCUUCGGGUUGUAAACUCCUUUCACCAUCGACGAAGGGUUUCUGACGGUAGAUGGAGAAGAAGCACCGGCUAACUACAUGCCAGCAGCCGCGGUAAUACGUAGGGUGCGAGCGUUGUCCGGAAUUACUGGGCGUAAAGAGCUCGUAGGUGGUUUGUCGCGUCGUCUGUGAAAUUCCGGGGCUUAACUCCGGGCGUGCAGGCGAUACGGGCAUAACUUGAGUACUGUAGGGGAGACUGGAAUUCCUGGUGUAGCGGUGAAAUGCGCAGAUAUCAGGAGGAACACCGGUGGCGAAGGCGGGUCUCUGGGCAGUAACUGACGCUGAGGAGCGAAAGCAUGGGGAGCGAACAGGAUUAGAUACCCUGGUAGUCCAUGCCGUAAACGGUGGGCGCUAGGUGUGGGUUUCCUUCCACGGGAUCCGUGCCGUAGCUAACGCAUUAAGCGCCCCGCCUGGGGAGUACGGCCGCAAGGCUAAAACUCAAAGGAAUUGACGGGGGCCCGCACAAGCGGCGGAGCAUGUGGAUUAAUUCGAUGCAACGCGAAGAACCUUACCUGGGCUUGACAUAUACAGGAUCGCGCCAGAGAUGGUGUUUCCCUUGUGGCUUGUAUACAGGUGGUGCAUGGUUGUCGUCAGCUCGUGUCGUGAGAUGUUGGGUUAAGUCCCGCAACGAGCGCAACCCUUGUCUUAUGUUGCCAGCACGUUGUGGUGGGGACUCGUAAGAAACUGCCGGGGUUAACUCGGAGGAAGGUGGGGAUGACGUCAAAUCAUCAUGCCCCUUAUGUCCAGGGCUUCACACAUGCUACAAUGGUCGGUACAGUGGGUUGCCAGUCCGUGAGGGCGAGCUAAUCCCGCAAAGCCGGUCUCGGUUCGGAUCGGGGUCUGCAACUCGACCCCGUGAAGUCGGAGUCGCUAGUAAUCGCAGAUCAGCAACGCUGCGGUGAAUACGUUCCCGGGCCU
Molecule: ribosomal RNA, 1341 nt
Filed under: uncultured bacterium
Lineage: Bacteria
Description: 16S ribosomal RNA
Rfam family: Bacterial small subunit ribosomal RNA
Source: RNAcentral